This 497-nucleotide ribosomal RNA is filed under the name uncultured bacterium. Its description in RNAcentral is "partial 16S ribosomal RNA". It matches the Rfam family "Bacterial small subunit ribosomal RNA", at positions 28 to 507 of the family's 1533-position model. The record is from RNAcentral.
GAUGAACGCUGGCGGCGUGCCUAAUACAUGCAAGUCGAGCGAACGGACGAGAAGCUUGCUUCUCUGAUGUUAGCGGCGGACGGGUGAGUAACACGUGGAUAACCUACCUAUAAGACUGGGAUAACUUCGGGAAACCGUAGCUAAUACCGGAUAAUAUUUUGAACCGCAUGGUUCAAAAGUGAAAGACGGUCUUGCUGUCACUUAUAGAUGGAUCCGCGCUGCAUUAGCUAGUUGGUAAGGUAACGGCUUACCAAGGCAACGAUGCAUAGCCGACUUGAGAGGGUGAUCGGCCACACUGGAACUGAGACACGGUCCAGACUCCUACGGGAGGCAGCAGUAGGGAAUCUUCCGCAAUGGGCGAAAGCCUGACGGAGCAACUCCGCGUGAGUGAUGAAGGUCUUCGGAUCGUAAAACUCUGUUAUUAGGGAAGAACAUAUGUGUAAGUAACUGUGCACAUCUUGACGGUACCUAAUCAGAAAGCCACGGCUAACUACGUG